CCCUGCUCCAGCCACAGAUCAGGAAACGAGGUAGGUGGGGAGCAGGGCCAUCCCGGUGCCUGUGCCUCAGUGUCCCGAGUGGAGCCCGGCCGCGUGGGAACCGUUCGCCCCACGAUUUACUGUUUGGGGGUCGAGGGCUACCGUCCCGGGGAGUCAGAGAGGCUUGGCUUGCCCGUCCCUGCGCAACUCCGGGGGCGCCACCGACGUGAUGCCCCAGAGCUAAGCCGCGCGGCAGGCUUGACCGGAGCCAGGCCCCCAAAGCCCGGGCUUUGUAGCGCAGCCACGGGCGCGGCGUUUGCCCGCGGCCCGCCUGCUCCAGAUGCCAGGAAAAGCCGCUCUGUGUGCUGGGGGUCGUGGGGACCACCCUCGGGUUCAGGGGUUUGCUAGAAGCGCCCACAGAAUUCAGCAAAGCUGUCUCGCUUCCGGUUAUGGUUUGAUGCGGUGGAGGGAUGAGUACGGGUGAGAACGGGCAUAAGGAAUGUGAUGCCCGGGCCCGGAGAGGCCGGAGGUGAGCCUCCCGGUGCGGUCUCCCGGGGGCUUAUCCAGGCAGCCCUUAGCUCGCCCGGCAGUGUCCCCAACCAGGGACGCUACGCCCACGUCCAGGGUAUUUCCCGGGGGCGGUCCCUUACGCUUGGCUAACCACUCCCGUGGCUGAGCUCGGUCUCCGCCGUCCCGAGGUCCCGCCGAUACCCCCACCCUACAUCCCGCUGUUAGCACACGACCCACGGUCCCCAGGGAAACAAAGACACUCUUACCAGACGGCGCACUCCGAGCGCUGGGGCUCCGGUAAGCACCCGACUUCGGCUCAGGUCAUGAUCUCGAGGUCUGUGAGUUCGAGACCCGCACCGGGCUCUGUGCUGACGGCUCGGAGCCUGGAGCCUGCUUCCGAUUCUGUGUCUCCCUCCCUCUCCCUGCCCCUCCCCGGCUCACUCUGUACCUCUCUCUCUCUCUCUCUCUCUCACUCCAAAAUAAAUAAGCAUUAAAAAAAAUUCGUAGUCUAAACGGUCUUGGACCGGUACUGCCCCGGGCACACCGAGUGGAGGCAAGUUCUCGGUGCCUUUCUGACAAGAUCGUCUCAAUCCGUGUCUUCUGGGGGUGAGUUUCACCCACAGACACAGAACGCACAAGGAAGUCCCGCACCACGAGCGAAAGCCAGCAGAUUCGAGAAAAAGCAGAGUUAGACCCUCCCCUGAAUCCUCAGGUAGGGAUGAUGAAUCAGAAGUGUUUAAGAUUAUGAAAGACCCCAAAGAAGAAAUUGUAGGAAGCUACUGGGUGGACGCGCGGACAGAUGGGUGAAUAGGUGGGCGGAGGGAGGGACAGAAGGACGGGUGGCUGGGUUGAAGCUUCCCUCUGGUCCGACUGGUGACGUCGGCCCGGGGCCCAUUCUCCUGAGGCACCGAUUGAGGGGUCCCCUUUGGAAGCACACCUGGAAGGUGGGUGGCAGGCGGCAGACCUUGAUGGGCUGGUCCCGCUCUUGCUGCCGAGGGCCCCCAAAGCCGGGUCGGAUCGUGCCGUCCACACAUAGCACGCGUUCCCCGCAUUCUUUCUGUCUUUUUUAAGGAUAAUCGCGUAUUUUAUUUUUAUUUAUGUAUUUGUUUUAACGCUUAUUUGUUUUUGAGAGACAGAGCACAAGUGAGGGAAGGGCAGGGAGAGAGAGAGGGAGACACAGAAUCGGAAGCAGGCUCCAGGCUCCGAGCCGUCAGCCCAGAGCCCGACGCGGGGCUCGAACCCACGGACCGCGAGGUCAUGACCUGAACCGGAGUCGGUUGCUUAACCGACUGAGCCACCCAGGCACCGCCCCCCACGCCCCCACUGCUGCCCGAGUUCUUUAAAAACAGUAACAACAGCCUGGCCUGUGUUUAUCCCUCUCUAGCAUGUCCUGAGGUGACGAGACUACAGAGAAGGACAAGACAGAAGAUUCCAGAUGGCAAGAAACCUCUGUCAGACGCCCUCUGGUCCUGGACCUCCUCCCCGCCUUGUCCUGACGCCCCUGUCUUUGGAGGGGGCCAGUCCCCGCCAUCCAUCUCUGAAACCCAGCAUCCUUUUGAGCUGCUUGAAAACGUUUUUGUUUCGUUUUGUUUUCAAACAACGCGGUAUGUUCCAGAAAAGGACCUGGUUCUCAGCCCUCCACACUCACGAGCUCGCGGCCGAGAAGAGGAAGACGGCCCAGGGCGUGGCCCGUGUGCCCUCGACGGCUUCAGAGACCCCCUCCUCGCCCUCACCACCACCAUCACUGCACAAAGUCCUGGUUCAAGACCCUUCUCUGGUUUGUCACCUGGCCCACCCCGGAGCCACGGAUGCCCGCCAGCUCCUUGGCCGGAUCUGGACUCGUUCUUGUGCCUUUUCUCCUAGAACACCCCCUGCGGCCCUGGGCACGUGGCCCGGGAAGCUCAGCACCCCCAGCAGCGCUGUGCCCCGGGGACCUCCCGGCCCGGCCCCUCAUGGCUUUACAUUUGACCAGCUCCCCUCGCCUUCAUCUCCCAAUCUUCUUUGGGAUUAAUGGAGUCCACGAUGGCACACGCGAGCUGCUGAGAAUCACCCCCGCCCCGCAGUUGCAAACCCGCCCCCCCUUCUAGAACAUUCUCAAGCCCCUUUAAUGGACGCCACACCACAGGGCAAUCCUGAUCAAUACCUCUUACUGAGGGAAUGAAGUGUCCCCGCUUUCCUGACCCCCCCCCUCCAACACAGGGUUGGGAUGAGCCCCUUGGGUUCCCGCCAUGGGAAACCGGCUCUGAACCGCGAUACAGGAAGAUACAGGUUUAUUGCAGGUUUUGAGUGUUUUGAAGUUCACUUGGGAAAAUAAAUCCCAGUGGCCUGGAUGCUACGGAGACCUGCGGUCAAAGGAGGUAAAUAUACCUUGGACAGAAGUCAGACUUUUCUAACGUGGUCCGCGCGCCCGUCAGGGUGGCCUUUGGAGGUAGUGAGUUCCCCGUCCGUGGAGGCAUUUAAGAAAAGGCUGGAAAGUGCUUACAGAAUGUGGUCCUCUGCGGUCCCCUCCGAUCCUCAGAGUUUCUAUUUCUAUGAAUCUGAGCAAAAGUUGAGCGGGUACCUCCUCCAGGCCCCUCUUCCCGGCCCCGUCGCUGGCUUCUUAACGGUCUAGUUCAAGUGCCCUGGGUAUGAGGUUCUCGGCCUCAGGGGAGAUGCCGGAGGCUUCUCGACCUGGGCGCAUCGAGGUGUUUUGGGUUAUUCUGAUGCCGGGAGGGAGCUGGUGGUGUUUGGUGCUGAGGGAAGGGAACGCCCGACAUUUUGCCCCGUGGGGGAGGCUCCUGAAGGUCCUGAACGUCACGGAGCCAUCCCGCGUCCGAGGCCGGAGGCUCCGCCUCGAAAAACGCGCGGUCUGGGAGCCGAGUUGGGCCCCGCAUCUUCUGGGUCGGCGCAGCUCUGCCCCAGGAAGGCUGGGACGCCUCGGGGGGGGGGGG
This 3419-nucleotide long non-coding RNA is filed under the name Lynx pardinus (Iberian lynx). The record is from RNAcentral. Lineage: Eukaryota; Metazoa; Chordata; Mammalia; Carnivora; Felidae.